Molecule: ribosomal RNA, 490 nt
Filed under: uncultured bacterium
Lineage: Bacteria
Description: partial 16S ribosomal RNA
Rfam family: Bacterial small subunit ribosomal RNA
Source: RNAcentral
AUUGAACGCUGGCGGCAGGCCUAACACAUGCAAGUCGAACGGUAACAGGAAGAAGCUUGCUUCUUUGCUGACGAGUGGCGGACGGGUGAGUAAUGUCUGGGAAACUGCCUGAUGGAGGGGGAUAACUACUGGAAACGGUAGCUAAUACCGCAUAAUGUCGCAAGACCAAAGAGGGGGACCUUCGGGCCUCUUGCCAUCGGAUGUGUCCAGAUGGGAUUAGCUAGUAGGUGGGGUAACGGCUCACCUAGGCGACGAUCCCUAGCUGGUCUGAGAGGAUGACCAGCCACACUGGAACUGAGACACGGUCCAGACUCCUACGGGAGGCAGCAGUGGGGAAUAUUGCACAAAGGGCGCAAGCCUGAUGCAGCUAUGCCGCGUGUAUGAAGAAGGCCUUCGGGUUGUAAAGUACUUUCAGCGGGGAGGAAGGGAGUAAAGUUAAUACCUUUGCUCAUUGACGUUACCCGCAGAAGAAGCACCGGCUAACUCCGUG